UCAGUCUUCAGUACCCCAUUGAAAUCAAA
This 29-nucleotide non-coding RNA is filed under the name Rattus norvegicus (Norway rat). Lineage: Eukaryota; Metazoa; Chordata; Mammalia; Rodentia; Muridae. The record is from RNAcentral.